AUUGAACGCUGGCGGAAUGCUUUACACAUGCAAGUCGAACGGCAGCACGGACUUCGGUCUGGUGGCGAGCGGCGAACGGGUGAGUAAUACAUCGGAACGUGCCCAGUCGUGGGGGAUAACGUAGCGAAAGCUACGCUAAUACCGCAUACGAUCUAAGGAAGAAAGCGGGGGGUCGCAAGACCUCGCGCUAUUGGAGCGGCCGAAGGCAGAUUAGGUAGUUGGUAGGGUAAUGGCCUACCAAGCCGACGAUCUGUAGCUGGUCUGAGAGGAUGAUCAGCCACACUGGAGCUGAGACGCGGCCCGGAAUCCUACGGGAGGCAGCAGUGGGGAAUUUUGGACAAUGGGCGAAAGCCUGAUCCAGCCAUGCCGCGUGCAGGAUGAAGGCCUUCGGGUUGUAAACUGCUUUUGUACAGAACGAAAAGGCUCUGGUUAAUACCCGGGGCUCAUGACGGUACUGUAAGAAUAAGCACCGGCUAACUACGUGCCAGCCGCCGCAGUAA
Molecule: ribosomal RNA, 500 nt
Filed under: uncultured bacterium
Lineage: Bacteria
Description: partial 16S ribosomal RNA
Rfam family: Bacterial small subunit ribosomal RNA
Source: RNAcentral